GGGGAAUUUUCCGCAAUGGGCGAAAGCCUGACGGAGCAAUACCGCGUGAGGGAUGACGGCCUAUGGGUUGUAAACCUCUUUUUUCAGGGAGGAAUCAAUGACGUGUACCUGAAGAAUAAGCAUCGGCUAACUCCGUGCCAGCAGCCGCGGUAAGACGGAGGAUGCAAGUGUUAUCCGGAAUCACUGGGCGUAAAGCGUCUGUAGGUGGUUGAAUAAGUCAACUGUUAAAUCUUGAGGCUCAACCUCAAAACCGCAGUCGAAACUAUUUGACUAGAGUAUAGUAGGGGUAAAGGGAAUUUCCAGUGGAGCGGUGAAAUGCGUAGAGAUUGGAAAGAACACCGAUGGCGAAGGCACUUUACUGGGCUAUUACUAACACUGAGAGACGAAAGCUAGGGUAGCAAAUGGGAUUAGAUACCCCAGUAGUCA
This 426-nucleotide ribosomal RNA is filed under the name uncultured cyanobacterium. RNAcentral describes it as "bacterial SSU rRNA". It matches the Rfam family "Bacterial small subunit ribosomal RNA", at positions 356 to 796 of the family's 1533-position model. The record is from RNAcentral. Lineage: Bacteria; Bacillati; Cyanobacteriota.